AUUUUAAUGAAGAGAAUACACUAGAAGAUGACUGUACUAUAUUCUCAUAAGCCUGAUUCCAAAUCAAACCCAUAGGGACACACGCCACUCUUCCAAAUCAAUGCCUCAGCUCCUGUGUUUGCUCUGUCAGUCUCCAGGGAAGCCCCUUGGGCCACAUGGUUCAGCUUCUACUCAGGCUUUGCUGGUGUUUUGAGUGGUUUCAGCUAUUGUUUCAGCUGCCUGGUUCCAGAAAGCCAAAACAUCUUGCAGUAAAACUCUGAGGACAGAGGGCCUGAGAAAUUCCAUUAAAUACUCUACCUCAGGAGAAAAGAUCUUAGGGCUG
Long non-coding RNA from Caretta caretta (loggerhead turtle), 322 nucleotides. RefSeq lists it as uncharacterized. The record is from RefSeq and is a predicted model, not a curated record. NCBI's taxonomy places the organism in Eukaryota, Metazoa, Chordata, Testudines, Cheloniidae.